Molecule: long non-coding RNA, 2962 nt
Filed under: Callithrix jacchus (white-tufted-ear marmoset)
Lineage: Eukaryota; Metazoa; Chordata; Mammalia; Primates; Cebidae
Description: lncRNA (ENSCJAG00000073035.1)
Source: RNAcentral
GAUAUUUUUCUGUCUUCUUUAUUUUUAAAUUACACUUUAUGUUCUAGGGUACAUGUGUAGAACAUGCAGGUUUGUUACAUAGGUAUACACAUGUCAUGGCUUUCUGCAUCCAUCACCUCAUCAUCUACAUUAGGUAUUUCUCCUUAUGUUAUCCCACCCCUAGCCUCCCACCCACCAACAGGCCCCAGUCUGUGAUGUUCCCCUCCCUGUGUCCAUGUGUUCUCAUUGUUUAACUCCCACUUACGAGUGAGAACAUGUGGUGUUCGGUUUUCCGUUCUUGUGUCAGUUUGCUGAGAAUGAUGGUUUCCAGCUUUAUCCAUGUUCCUGCAAAGGACAUAAACUCAUCCUUUUUUCGGCUGCAUAGUAUUCUAUAGUGUGUAUGUGCCACAUUUUCUUUAUCCAGUCUAUCACUGAUGGGCAUUUGGGUUGGUUCCAAGUCUUUGCUGUUGUAAACAGUGUCUGCCUUCUUUUUCAGCCAGUCUCAGGUCUUGCCUUAGGCAUUGCUCCUUCUGGAAAGCACCCGACCCCACCCCUGUUCUGCAGGGCUGUGUCAGAUUGCAAGCUUCUGCAAAGAUAUGGAACUUAUUUGUUUUACUCACUGUCCUGUCUCCAAGUAUUUAAUAUAACAGAGACUUACUGAAUAUUGGAAUGGAUGAAUGAAAAUCGUGUCUAGCACAGUGUCAUACUGAUUGCAGAUGAGUUAACUAAAAAGUUAACAUUUACUAGAAGAUGGUAUUUCUUCAUUGUGGUUUGGCCUGAUUUUAUUGGUGGAUCCUGCUGACAACGUUAUAUACUAAUAUUAAAAUGAUAGGCUGAGCAUGGUAGCUCACACUUCUAAUCCCAGGACUUUGGGAGGACAAGGUGGGAGGGUUGUUUGAGCUCAGGAGUUUGAGACCAGCCUGGAUAAUGUAGUGAGAUUCCGUCUCCCAAGGCAAAACAAACCCAAAAGGGGAGCAUAUUAUUGCUCUUUUAAAUAUAUGCCCUGACUAUGAUGUUGCUACAAAAAUAAGCCUGAUCUGGAAGGAGACAGAACCAGUUUUCAGUCCUGAUUCUCUCCUUCCUGGUUGUAUUGGUUGGUUAAUCUCUUUGAGCCUCAAAUCCUUGAGUAGAAAAAUGGGAAUAAUAUAACCUGCCUUGUGGGUUCUAUGUAAUAAGUGAAUGAAAUAAUAUCUGAAAGGCACUUAGUAUGGGGGCUGGCAAAAAUAAGUACUUAAAAAUGUUAGUCAUGAUUAGUAUUACAGUAAGGAUAAUAAACACUACUUUGCUUGGCAACUAGAUGCUUGACAGACAGUAGCUUAUAUUAUUACUAUUAUUAUAAAGGAAUGCUGGAGUUUUAUUGUAAUGACUAUGAGCUGAAUUGGCAGGAAGCUGCUCUUUAGAGACUCAGGGAAGCAGGAGCCAGUGCUGGGAAGGCUCUUCCUCUUGUUUCCUAGAGGCAGAGAAAGAGUGGUCAGUUCGGAUUGCACCAGAUCGAAGGAGAGCUUUGAAAGGGAGUCACUGAACGGGUAGCCCCUUCUGGCAACUUACUUCCUGGGACAAAGCACAGCAAGCACUUGGAGAGGCCUUUGUUGAGUAGCUUGGGAUCUUUCCUCCUGCCAACCUGCAGGGAAUAAAACAUGGCCCAGGGCAGACUUUGGAAUUGCAUGGGGUGAACCGGGUAAGGGUGCUUAAGGGAGAACUUUACUCGGGAAAGGUAGUAUUUGUGAAUUUCUAUUGAAACCUCAUGCACACAUCUUUGUAACAAGCAUUAUAAAUGUCAGGAGGCUCAACCACCAGUUUGAAGGCAUUUCGCCUCUAACCUGAGGCUUCUAAGGACUGCUUUACCUAUAAUGUGCUCCUUGCUGAUUCCUCCACACUCAUUUUCCAAAGGCUGCCCUUUAAGGGUAUAAUGAAUACUGCUAUUUCUCUUCCCAACUAAGAGCCAGAAGGUGAGCUGGGUUGUAGAAUCCCAGAGAUUUGGGUAUUUGGGACAUGCAGGCCUAUUGCCUCUCUGGCUUCUGACCAAGGGCACUAGCACCUUCUAUGUGCAGGCCGGGGACUCCUGGAUACUUGGAUGGUGUGACGAGAAAUUUACAAGCCUAAAGUGUCAGAAGAGGGUGGAUCUGGGGCCUGGUCAGAGGUGGGCUGGAACUUUGGCUCUGCUACUUACAUCAGUGCGCCCUUGGUUAAGGUAACAGCGCUGCUCUGAGCCUGUGUGUCCUUAUCUGUGAAGGCGGAUCAUAUCCUUACUUAAUAGGACAAUCGAUACGUCUGGAUUUAGUUCUACCCCCUAAUGAUUUGCAUUCUGUUUAUUCCCUGUGUUUUCAAUUUCCUGUCUUCUUUGGAAUUCCUUGGAUAUUUUUCAGUGUUUCAUUUUGACUUAACUAUGGAGUUUUUGACUGUAUCUGCUGUGGACUGAAUUGUAUCUCUCAAAUUCAUAUGCUGAAGUCCUAACUCUGAAUUUGGUGGUAUUUGUAGGUGGGGCCUUUGGGAGGUAUUUAGCUUUAGAUGAAGGCAUGAGGGUAUUGCCUUCAUUAUGGGAUUAGUGGCCUUAUGAUGUGGUUUGGCUCUGUGUCCACACCCAAAUCUCAUGUUGAAGUGUAAUUCCCAGUGUUGAAGGAGAUGCCUGGUGGGAGGUGGUUGAAUCAUAAGGUGGACUUCCCCCUUGCUGUUCUUGUGAUAGAAUUCUCACAAGAUCUGGUUGUUUGAAAGGUUUUAGCACUUCCCCCUUUGUGUUCCCUCUCUCUCUCUCUCUCUCUCUCUCUCCUGACACUGUGGUAAGACAUGCUUGCUUCCCCUUCUUCUUCUGCCAUGAUUGUAAGUUUCCUGAGGCCUCCCAGCCAUGCUUCUUGUACAGCCUGUGGAACUGUGAGCCAAUUAAACUUCUUUUCUUCAUAAAAGACUCAGUCUCAGGUAAUUCUUUAUGGCAGUGUGAGAGCAGACUAACAUGCCUUUUAAGAAGAAACACUAGAGAGCUUGCGUC